UACGAGGGGUGCAAACGUUAUUCGGAUUCAUUGGGUGUAAAGGGUGUGUAGACGGUUUAUUAAGUUCGUUGUUAAAACUUUCGGCCUAACCGAAAGCUCGCAGUGAAAACUGAUAGACUAGAGGGUGAAAGAGAGGAGUGGAAUUCUCGGAGUAGCGGUAAAAUGCGUAGAUCUCGAGAGGAACACCGAUGGCGAAAGCAGCUCCUUGGUUCACACCUGACGUUGAAACACGAAAGCGUGGGGAGCAAACAGG
This 253-nucleotide ribosomal RNA is filed under the name uncultured bacterium. RNAcentral describes it as "partial 16S ribosomal RNA". It matches the Rfam family "Bacterial small subunit ribosomal RNA", at positions 524 to 776 of the family's 1533-position model. The record is from RNAcentral.